This 253-nucleotide ribosomal RNA is filed under the name uncultured bacterium. RNAcentral's name for it is "partial 16S ribosomal RNA". It matches the Rfam family "Bacterial small subunit ribosomal RNA", at positions 524 to 776 of the family's 1533-position model. The record is from RNAcentral.
GACAGAGGUUCCAAGCGUUAGGCGGAAUCACUGGGCUUAAAGCGUGUGUAGGCGGAUUUGUAAGUACCUUGUGAAAUCCCACGGCUCAACCGUGGAACUGCUUGGUAUACUGCUUAUCUUGGGCCAUCUAGGGGCGAGCGGAACAAACGGUGGAGCGGUGAAAUGCGUAGAUAUCGUUUGGAACGCCAAUGGUGAAAACAGCUCGCUGGGGAUGUGCCGACGCUGAGACACGAAAGCCAGGGGAGCGAACGGG